Molecule: microRNA, 21 nt
Filed under: Populus trichocarpa (black cottonwood)
Lineage: Eukaryota; Viridiplantae; Streptophyta; Magnoliopsida; Malpighiales; Salicaceae
Description: ptc-miR7829
Source: miRBase by way of RNAcentral
ACACAGAAACUCCAAGCCCAC